Long non-coding RNA from Oncorhynchus masou masou (cherry salmon), 333 nucleotides. RefSeq lists it as uncharacterized. NCBI's taxonomy places the organism in Eukaryota, Metazoa, Chordata, Actinopteri, Salmoniformes, Salmonidae. The record is from RefSeq and is a predicted model, not a curated record. The transcript has 3 exons.
CUGCUCCACCCCGGGGGACCAGGGCAAGACCUGAGGAGAGAGGGCCUGGCCGAGUCCACCAGUCAGGCUGCAUACCUGGCUCUAAAGGUGGUGUUGGUUUGUUUUGAGCGGCAGCUGGGGAACCAGUGGUAUCGCCUCAGCCUGCAGGCCAAGGAGAUGUCUCUGAGGAAGGUGGGAGGCCUGGCCUUCUGGGACUUCAUAGAUUUCAUAGUGCGUACUCGGAUUCCCAUCUUCGUCCUGCUGCGUCCCUUUAUCCAGUGCAAGCUCCUGACCCAGCCAGCAGACUCCCAGGAGGAGAUCACGGCCCGCCACCACAUCGCUGACCAGCUGGAG